GGGUAUGGCUCAGAAGUAGAGAGCGUGCUUGGCAUGCAUGAGGUCCUGGGUUCAAUUCCCAGUUCCUCCA
RNAcentral lists this transfer RNA (70 nucleotides) under Camelus bactrianus (Bactrian camel). It matches the Rfam family "tRNA". From Rfam's summary of the family: Transfer RNA (tRNA) molecules are approximately 80 nucleotides in length. Their secondary structure includes four short double-helical elements and three loops (D, anti-codon, and T loops). RNAcentral also lists the same sequence under 2 other names. Lineage: Eukaryota; Metazoa; Chordata; Mammalia; Artiodactyla; Camelidae. The record is from Rfam by way of RNAcentral.